Mycobacterium lacus is the source of this 75-nucleotide non-coding RNA. Lineage: Bacteria; Bacillati; Actinomycetota; Actinomycetes; Mycobacteriales; Mycobacteriaceae. The record is from Rfam.
UUUGACCGACCCCAACCACAGCGGCCGAUCCGCCAGCCGAUCCCGCCCAUACGUCGCCAACAGCGCCUGCGCCUC